This 468-nucleotide ribosomal RNA is filed under the name uncultured bacterium. RNAcentral's name for it is "partial 16S ribosomal RNA". It matches the Rfam family "Bacterial small subunit ribosomal RNA", at positions 28 to 507 of the family's 1533-position model. The record is from RNAcentral.
GACGAACGCUGGCGGCGUGCUUAACACAUGCAAGUCGAACGGAAAGGCCGUGCUUUUGUGGGCUGCUCGAGUGGCGAACGGGUGAGUAACACGUGAGUAACCUGCCCUUGACUUUGGGAUAAGUUCAGGAAACGGGGGCUAAUACCGGAUAGGAGCUGCUGCUGCAUGGUGAGGGGGGGAAAGUUUCGGCGGUUGGGGAUGGACUCGCGGCUUAUCAGCUUGUUGGUGGGGUAGUGGCUUACCAAGGCUUUGACGGGUAGCCGGCCUGAGAGGGUGACCGGCCACAUUGGGACUGAGAUACGGCCCAGACUCCUACGGGAGGCAGCAGUGGCGAAUAUUGCACAAUGGGCGGAAGCCUGAUGCAGCAACGCCGCGUGCGGGAUGACGGCCUUCGGGUUGUAAACCGCUUUCGCCUGUGACGAAGCGUGAGUGACGGUAAUGGGUAAAGAAGCACCGGCUAACUACGUG